CAAUAGCGUAUAUUAAAGUUGUUGCAGUUAAAAAGCUCGUAGUUGGAUUUGUGGCGUACGGUGUGUUCCGGGCACUUGUUGUCUGAGUAACCUGCUGUUGCCAUCCUUGGGUGGAACCUGUGUGGCAUUAGGUUGUCGUGCAGGGGAUGCCCAUCAUUUACUGUGAAAAAAUUAGAGUGUUCAAAGCAGGCUUAUGCCGUUGAAUAUAUCAGCAUGGAAUAAUGAGAUAGGACUUUUUUGCUAUUUUGUUGGUUUGCGCAAAGAGGUAAUGAUUAAUAGGGACAGUUGGGGGUAUUCGUAUUCCAUUGCCAGAGGUGAAAUUCUUGGAUUUUUGGAAGACGAACUACUGCGAAAGCAUUUACCAAGGAUGUUUUCAUUAA
RNAcentral lists this ribosomal RNA (380 nucleotides) under uncultured eukaryote. Its description in RNAcentral is "partial 18S ribosomal RNA". It matches the Rfam family "Eukaryotic small subunit ribosomal RNA", at positions 592 to 976 of the family's 1831-position model. The record is from RNAcentral.